Molecule: ribosomal RNA, 426 nt
Filed under: uncultured bacterium
Lineage: Bacteria
Description: bacterial SSU rRNA
Rfam family: Bacterial small subunit ribosomal RNA
Source: RNAcentral
UCGAGAAUCUUCGGCAAUGGGCGAAAGCCUGACCGAGCGACGCCGCGUGCGGGAUGAAGGCCCUCGGGUUGUAAACCGCUGUCGUUGGGGAGGAAAUGCGUGGGGGCUAUCCCUCAUGUUUGACCUAUCCAAGGAGGAAGUACGGGCUAAGUUCGUGCCAGCAGCCGCGGUAAGACGAACCGUACGAACGUUAUUCGGAAUUACUGGGCUUAAAGGGUGCGUAGGCUGCGCGGAAAGUUGGGUGUGAAAGCCCUCAGCUCAACUGAGGAAUUGCAUCCAAAACUGCCGUGCUAGAGGGAGACAGAGGUGAGCGGAACUCAAGGUGGAGCGGUGAAAUGCGUUGAUAUCUUGAGGAACACCGGUGGCGAAAGCGGCUCACUGGGUCUCUUCUGACGCUGAGGCACGAAAGCUAAGGUAGCAAACGGG